GAGACAGGAGACAGAAAUAUCAGUACUUUUAUUAGUGUUGAGCGAGCAUGCUCAGCCGAACACCAGUUCGUCUCGAGCAUCGCGAUGCUCGACACAUCACAGUGUUCAGCCGAAUACCUCGUGU
This is a long non-coding RNA of Bufo bufo (common toad), 124 nucleotides long. RefSeq lists it as uncharacterized. The transcript is spliced from 3 exons. Lineage: Eukaryota; Metazoa; Chordata; Amphibia; Anura; Bufonidae. The record is from RefSeq and is a predicted model, not a curated record.